Molecule: ribosomal RNA, 500 nt
Filed under: uncultured bacterium
Lineage: Bacteria
Description: partial 16S ribosomal RNA
Rfam family: Bacterial small subunit ribosomal RNA
Source: RNAcentral
AUUGAACGCUGGCGGAAUGCUUUACACAUGCAAGUCGAACGGCAGCACGGACUUCGGUCUGGUGGCGAGUGGCGAACGGGUGAGUAAUGUAUCGGAACGUGCCCAGUCGUGGGGGAUAACGUAGUGAAAAUUACGCUAAUACCGCAUACGAUCUAUGGAUGAAAGCGGGGGAUCGCAAGACCUCGCGCGAUUGGAGCGGCUGAUAUCAGAUUAGGUAGUUGGUGGGGUAAAGGCCCACCAAGCCAACGAUCUGUAGCUGUUCUGAGAGGACGACCAGCCACACUGGAACUGAGACACGGUCCAGACUCCUACGGGAGGCAGCAGUGGGGAAUUUUGGACAAUGGGCGAAAGCCUGAUCCAGCCAUUCCGCGUGCAGGAUGAAGGCCCUCGGGUUGUAAACUGCUUUUGUACAGAACGAAAAGGUUUCUACUAAUACUAGGAGCUCAUGACGGUACUGUAAGGAUAAGCACCGGCUAACUACGUGCCAGCAGCCGCCGUAA